Molecule: ribosomal RNA, 788 nt
Filed under: uncultured bacterium
Lineage: Bacteria
Description: bacterial SSU rRNA
Rfam family: Bacterial small subunit ribosomal RNA
Source: RNAcentral
AGAGUUUGAUCAUGGCUCAGAUUGAACGCUGGCGGCAUGCCUUACACAUGCAAGUCGAACGGUAACAGGGAGCUUGCUCCGCUGACGAGUGGCGAACGGGUGAGUAAUAUAUCGGAACGUGCCCUGGAGUGGGGGAUAACUAGUCGAAAGAUUAGCUAAUACCGCAUACGAUCUAAGGAUGAAAGUGGGGGAUCGCAAGACCUCAUGCUCGUGGAGCGGCCGAUAUCUGAUUAGCUAGUUGGUAGGGUAAAAGCCUACCAAGGCAUCUCAGUAGCUGGUCUGAGAGGACGACCAGCCACACUGGGACUGAGACACGGCCCAGACUCCUACGGGAGGCAGCAGUGGGGAAUUUUGGACAAUGGGCGCAAGCCUGAUCCAGCCAUUCCGCGUGCAGGAGAAGGCCUCGGGUUGUAAACUGCUUUUGGACGGAACGAAAAGGCCUUUUCUAAUACAGAGGGCUCAUGACGGUACCGUCAGAAUAAGCACCGGCUAACUACGUGCCAGCAGCCGCGGUAAUACGUAGGGUGCAAGCGUUAAUCGGAAUUACUGNNCNNNAAGCGUGCGCAGGCGGUUAUGUAAGACAGGUGUGAAAUCCCCCGGGCUUAACCUGGGAACUGCAUUUGUGACUGCAUAGCUAGAGUACGGAGAGGGGGAUGGAAUUCCGCGUGUAGCAGUGAAAUGCGUAGAUAUGCGGAGGAACACCGAUGGCGAAGGCAUCCCCUGGACCUGUACUGACGCUCAUGCACGAAAGCGUGGGGAGCAAACAGGAUUAGAUACCCUAGUAGUCC